UGAGUAACACGUGCUUAAUCUACCUCUUAGAUUGGAAUACCUAAUGGAAACAUUGGUUAAUGCCGGAUACGCAUGGAGUCGCAUGACUCCGUUGUGAAAGGGGCCUUUAAAGCUCCACUAAGAGAUGAGGGUGCGGAACAUUAGCUAGUUGGUGAGGUAACGGCCCACCAAGGCUAUGAUGUUUAGCCGGGUCGAGAGACUGAACGGCCACAUUGGGACUGAGAUACGGCCCAA
RNAcentral lists this ribosomal RNA (234 nucleotides) under uncultured bacterium. RNAcentral describes it as "partial 16S ribosomal RNA". It matches the Rfam family "Bacterial small subunit ribosomal RNA", at positions 107 to 334 of the family's 1533-position model. The record is from RNAcentral.